UCCGGGUGGCAAUGGGAAGCCGUGAUGCGGAGCGAAAUAAAGUAGUGAAGUCCGUGAGCCAUGCGUCAAGAAAAGCCGCUAUUGUUUAUACCGUACCCGUACCGUAAACCGACACAGGUGGAUGAGGAGAGAAUCCUAAGGCCGGCGGAAGAAGCAUUGUCAAGGAACUCGGCAAAAUGGCCCCGUAACUUAGGGAUAAGGGGUGCCUGGGAAACCAGGCCGCAGAGAAUAGGCUCAAGCAACUGUUUAGCAAAAACACAGGUCUAUGCGAAACCGAAAGGUGAGGUAUAUGGGCUGACGCCUGCCCGGUGCUGGAAGGUUAAGAGGAGAGGUUAGCGGUAACGCGAAGCUUUGAAUUUAAGCCCCAGUAAACGGCGGCCGUAACAAUAACGGUCCUAAGGUAGCGAAAUUCCUUGUCGGGUAAGUUCCGACCCGCACGAAAGGCGUAAUGAUUUGAGCGCUGUCUCGACAAUGCAUCCGGUGAAAUUGAAGUACCAGUGAAGAUGCUGGUUACCUGCGCCAGGACGGAAAGACCCCAUGGAGCUUUACUCCAGUCUGGUACUGGGACUCGGUAUUGCAUGUACAGGAUAGGUGGGAGGCUAGGAGAUGGUAACGCCAGUUGCCAUGGAGCCGCUGUUGGGAUACCACCCUUGCAGUAUUGGGUUUCUAACCAGCCGCCGUGACCCGGCGGUGGGACAAUGCCAGACGGGGAGUUUGACUGGGGCGGUCGCCUCCGAAAGGGUAUCGGAGGCGCCCAAAGGUUCCCUCAGAAUGGACGGUAACCAUUCGAAGAGUGCAAAGGCAGAAGGGAGCUUGACUGCGACACCGACGGGUGGAGCAGGUACGAAAGUAGGGCUUAGUGAUCCGGUGGUAUUAAGUGGGAAUGCCAUCGCUCAACGGAUAAAAGCUACCCUGGGAUAACAGGCUUAUCACUCCCAAGAGUUCACAUCGACGGAGUGGUUUGGCACCUCGAUGUCGGCUCAUCGCAUCCUGGGGCUGUAGUAGGUCCCAAGGGUUGGGCUGUUCGCCCAUUAAAGCGGUACGCGAGCUGGGUUCAGAACGUCGUGAGACAGUUCGGUCCCUAUCCGGCGUGGGCGUAGGAUAUCUGAGAGGAGCUGUCCUUAGUACGAGAGGACCGGGAUGGACGGGCCGCUGGUGCAUCGGUUAGACUGCCAAGUCUACGGCCGAGUAGCCAAGCCCGGAAGGGAUAAACGCUGAAGGCAUCUAAGCGUGAAGCCCCCCUUAAGAUGAGAUAUCCCAUUCGAAAGAAGUAAACCCCCUUGAAGACGACGAGGUAGAUAGGGCAGAGGUGGAAGUGCAGCAAUGCAUGGAGCUGACUGUUACUAAUCGGGUGAGGGCUUGACCG
RNAcentral lists this ribosomal RNA (1366 nucleotides) under metagenome. Its description in RNAcentral is "bacterial LSU rRNA". It matches the Rfam family "Bacterial large subunit ribosomal RNA", at positions 1541 to 2925 of the family's 2925-position model. The record is from RNAcentral.